RNAcentral lists this ribosomal RNA (449 nucleotides) under uncultured bacterium. Its description in RNAcentral is "bacterial SSU rRNA". It matches the Rfam family "Bacterial small subunit ribosomal RNA", at positions 329 to 793 of the family's 1533-position model. The record is from RNAcentral.
UGCCAGACUCCUACGGGAGGCAGCAGUAGGGAAUCAUUCACAAUGGGCGAAAGCCUGAUGGAGCAACGCCGCGUGCAGGAUGAAGGAAUUCGGGUUGUAUACUGCUUUUAUAAGCGAGAAAUAUGAUGGUAACUUAUGAAUAAGGAUCGGCUAACUACGUGACAGCAGCCGCGGGCAUACGUAGGAUCCGAGCAUUAUCCGGAGUGACUGUGUGUAAAGAGUUGCGUAGGUGGCAUAGUAAGUAGCUAGUGAAAUCUGGUGGCUCAACCAUUCAGACUAUUAGCUAAACUGCUAAGCUCGAGACCGUUAGGGGUACCUUGAAUUUCUAGUGUCGGUGUGAAAUCCGUAGAUAUUAGAAGGAACACCGAUAGCGUAGGCAGGUUACUGGGACGGUUCUGACACUAAGGCACGAAAGCGUAGGGAGCACACGGUAUUAGAUACCCGCGUAU